GACGAACGCUGGCGGCGUGCCCAAUACACGCAAGUCGAACGCAGUGGGGACGGGUGAGUAACACGUGGGUAACCUCCCAUCAGAGGGGAUAACACUUGGAAACAGGUGCUAAACCGAGACGGAUGGAUGGACCCGCGGUGCAUUAGCUAGUUGGCGAGGUAACGGCUCACCAAGGCCACGAUGCAUAGCCUACCUGAGAGGGUGAUCGGCCACGCUGGGACUGAGACACGGCCCAGACUCCUACGGGAGGCAGCAGUAGGGAAUCUUCGGCAAUGGACGAAAGUCUGACCGAGCAACGCCGCGUGAGUGAGGACGGCCUUCGGUUUGUAAAUCUCUGUUAAUCGGGACGCGGUCCCGGACUAGAUAGCCACGGCUAACUACGUGCCAGCAGCCGCGGUAAUAC
This 403-nucleotide ribosomal RNA is filed under the name uncultured bacterium. RNAcentral describes it as "partial 16S ribosomal RNA". It matches the Rfam family "Bacterial small subunit ribosomal RNA", at positions 28 to 526 of the family's 1533-position model. The record is from RNAcentral.